This 157-nucleotide ribosomal RNA is filed under the name Helicoma chlamydosporum. Its description in RNAcentral is "5.8S ribosomal RNA". It matches the Rfam family "5.8S ribosomal RNA". From Rfam's summary of the family: 5.8S ribosomal RNA (5.8S rRNA) is a component of the large subunit of the eukaryotic ribosome. Lineage: Eukaryota; Fungi; Ascomycota; Dothideomycetes; Tubeufiales; Tubeufiaceae. RNAcentral also lists the same sequence under 5 other names. The record is from RNAcentral.
AACUUUCAACAACGGAUCUCUUGGUUCUGGCAUCGAUGAAGAACGCAGCGAAAUGCGAUAAGUAAUGUGAAUUGCAGAAUUCAGUGAAUCAUCGAAUCUUUGAACGCACAUUGCGCCCUCUGGUAUUCCGGGGGGCAUGCCUGUUCGAGCGUCAUUU